RNAcentral lists this transfer RNA (77 nucleotides) under Christensenella hongkongensis. RNAcentral's name for it is "Catabacter hongkongensis tRNA-Arg". It matches the Rfam family "tRNA". From Rfam's summary of the family: Transfer RNA (tRNA) molecules are approximately 80 nucleotides in length. Their secondary structure includes four short double-helical elements and three loops (D, anti-codon, and T loops). Further hydrogen bonds mediate the characteristic L-shaped molecular structure. tRNAs have two regions of fundamental functional importance: the anti-codon, which is responsible for specific mRNA codon recognition, and the 3' end, to which the tRNAs corresponding amino acid is attached (by aminoacyl-tRNA synthetases). tRNAs cope with the degeneracy of the genetic code in two manners: having more than one tRNA (with a specific anti-codon) for a particular amino acid; and 'wobble' base-pairing, i.e. permitting non-standard base-pairing at the 3rd anti-codon position. RNAcentral also lists the same sequence under 4 other names. Lineage: Bacteria; Bacillati; Bacillota; Clostridia; Christensenellales; Christensenellaceae. The record is from RNAcentral.
GCGCCAUUAGCUCAGCAGGAUAGAGCGCACGCCUCCUAAGCGUGAGGCCACUGGUUCGAAUCCAGUAUGGCGCGCCA